ACUACCAAUGGACAUCUGCACGCACAAUAACCUUCAAAGACUCAAACUACUUCACCUGUCGUGGAACAAAUUGGAAGGAGAUAUACCGUCGAGUUUGUACUAAUGUCCACAACUCGAGAUUAUUGACUUGUCAUCCAACAACUUUGGUGGAAAUGUGUCUAAACAAAUUGGGAAUAUCACACUGCUAAAGGAAUUGGAUCUUGGUUGGAACUAUUUGAGAGGUGGUAUUCCAAAAGAGAUUGAUAAUCUUAAUAAUUUGGAGAUAUUAGACAUGAGUUACAACAAUCUUUGUGAACCAUUUCCAAGACAAAUUUGGAACAUCACAACUCUCCAUGAACUACACCUUCGGGAUGCCUCUUUAAAUGGUACAAUACCAUUCACCAUUGAGAAUCUAUCAAAUCUGUAGUGGCUAGAGCUCUCUUCCAACCAAUUAAAUGGUGAUUUAUUAAACAUUA
Salvia miltiorrhiza (redroot sage) is the source of this 455-nucleotide long non-coding RNA. RefSeq lists it as uncharacterized. The record is from RefSeq and is a predicted model, not a curated record. The transcript is spliced from 3 exons. NCBI's taxonomy places the organism in Eukaryota, Viridiplantae, Streptophyta, Magnoliopsida, Lamiales, Lamiaceae.